UGGGGAAUCUUGCACAAUGGAGGAAACUAUGAUGCAGCGAUGCCGCGUGAGUGAAGAAGGCCUUUGGGUGGAAAAGCUCUUUCGUCGGGGAAGAAAAUGACUGUACCSGAAUAAGAAGGUCCGGCUAACUUCGUGCCAGCAGCCGCGGUAAUACGAAGGGACCUAGCGUAGUUCGGAAUUACUGGGCUUAAAGAGUUCGUAGGUGGUUGAAAAAGUUGGUGGUGAAAUCCCAGAGCUUAACUCUGGAACUGCCAUCAAAACUUUUCAGCUAGAGUWUAAAAGAGGAAAGCAGAAUUUGUAGUGUAGAGGUGAAAUUCGUAGAUAUUAGAAAGAAUACCAAUUGCGAAGGCAGCUUUCUGGAUCAUUACUGACACUGAGGAACGAAAGCAUGGGUAGCGAAGAGGAUUAGAUACCCUGGUAGUCCAUGCCGUAAACGAUGUGUGUUAGACGUUGGAAAU
This 458-nucleotide ribosomal RNA is filed under the name uncultured marine bacterium. Its description in RNAcentral is "bacterial SSU rRNA". The record is from RNAcentral.